AUGUAGAAUCUUUGUAGAGUUCUUUGUAGAAUCGUUCGCCUGUAAUCAGGGUUGAUAUUGACAAUAUUUAGCAACUGUUGCGGCUCUCUACUGUGUCUGCCAUUAACCCUGUGGAUGCUGGACUGUCAGAUUCAAGUUGUUUUGGCUUUUACUACAAAAAGCAUCUUUACAUAUAUCUGCAAUUUAAUGGAUAAUUUAUUUUCCCUUUCCAUACAUCUGAAAGAAGAAACAUAAUUGGUAUGAACGGCACUUAAUUCCAGACUGACUUCUUUUGAACUGUAGAGACUGGAUUUCACCAUGUUGCCCAGGCUGGUCUCAAACUUCUGGCUUCAAACUAUCUGCCUGCCUCAGCCUCCCAAAGUGCUGGGAUUACAGGCGUGAGCCACCAUGCCCUGCCUCUCUUCAAGGACUCUCUUUGCUGCAUCGGCAUCACCUGGUAACGUGGUAGGGCUACAGAAUCUUGGGCCCCACCUUGGACCUACCUAAUCGUCAUCUUAUUCAUUGGUGUUCCCUUCGCCAGAUGAUAAUAAUAAAGUAAAAUGCUCAUGAAAGUGAAGAAUAAGAAAACUUACUGUUAAAAUGCAAAGAAAACCAACCAACCAAGCAACCAACCAACCAACCAACCAACGAACCAGCCAACCAACCAAGCAACCAACCAACUAAGCAACCAAUGAACCAACCAACCAACCAACCAACAAACCAAGCAAGCAAGUAAGCAAGCAAGCAAGCAAGCAAGCAAGCAAGCAAGCAACAAAGCAAGCAAGCAAGCAAGCAACCAACCAAGCAACCAAGCAACCAAGCAACCAAACAACCAAACAACCAACCAACCAAGCAACCAAGCAACCAAUCAAGCAACCAACCAACCAAUCAACCAAGCAACCAACCAAGCAACCAACCAAGCAACCAACGAAGCAAGCAACCAAGCAACCAAUGAAGCAAGCAAGCAAGCAACCAACCAACCAACCAAGCAACCAACCAAGCAACCAACCAACCAACCAACCAACCAACCAGCCAAGCAAGCAAGCAAGCAAGCAAGCAAGCAAGCAAGCAAGCAAGCAAAGCAAGCAAGCAAGCAAGCAAAGCAAGCAAAGCAAGCAAGCAAGCAAGCAAGCAAGCAAGCAAGCAAGCAAGCAAGCAAGCAACCAAGCAACCAACCAGCCAAGCAAGCAAGCAAGCAAGCAACCAACCAACCAAGCAACCAACGAACCAACCAACCAACCAAGCAACCAGCCAACCAAGCAACCAGCCAACCAAGCAACCAAGCAACCAACCAAGCAACCAAGCAACCAACGAACCAAGCAACCAAGCAACCAACGAACCAACCAACCAAGCAACCAGUCAACCAAUAAGUGAAUUAAAAAAAAAGAACAGUUGCAUUUUGACUACUCACUGGGAUUUAUCAGAAUGAACUUGAAAUAAUGUAACAUAACAAUAAAUUCUUUAAACAUAAAAUUUAAGUAUUAAUAUUGAUAGUGAUAUUAAUUUUUUGUUUAUAUAAUUUUCACAUUAAAAGAACUUGGAAGUGAAAUUAUAUAUAAUUUCCACAUGAAGUAUAGAAGUUGUGUUACAUAUUUAUAGCAGUUUUUUAAAAAAAAUAAUUGUUUUCCUGUUACCAAGGUCAUCCCUACACAUUGUAGGAAAUUUAGGACAUAGAGAUUAGUGAAAAGAAGAAAAUAAAAAUCACAGGUAACCAGAAAGGCAGAGAGAAUCUCUGUGAAUUUUUGUGUACACCUUUCCAGUCCUUUUAUCUGUGUAUAUUUAUUUUUUUUAAAAUGGCAUUGCCCUGAUUCUUUCAAAACUGACAUUUAAUUUGUGUGUAAUAUGAGGAAGGGAUGAAACUGGAAUGCAGAGGAAGAUGAGAUUCUGCAAUGACUCUGAUAAUAACAGACGAAACAAAGAACUGCUAGUCUCAUGGAAAGCAAGUGAUAUUGUUCUCUGCUGCUUUUAUGUAUGCCAGACCAAUAGCCCGUGACUCCCUGAAAUUUUCAGCGUCAGAGUCAUAUAUGUUUGUGUGACUUAAAGGCACGUUUCCACAUGAUUAGCUUUUGUUUUUUAGCUGUGAUUAGUUUCAGAAACAACUGAAUUUCCAUAUUUGACAUAUUUGAACUUUAUAAGUUAAUCACGUGGAUUUAGUAGUUAAGACUCUAGCACAUUUUCCUCUCUGAUUUUAGCAGACGAAAGCACUUGUCAGGAAACGUCUAGCUUCAAAUCUUCUGUGUCGGAGGUGUGUACGAUGAAGCAGAAACUGAGAAGUCAACUGCAGUAAUUUUACUCCCAAGCUGGAGGCCAGUGUGAGAACCAACUAGGUUAAAAUCCAGAUAAAACUAAUUGUGCAGCAAAAAAAAAAAAAAAAACUUAAAAAGAAACAAACCUCAUUUGUGCAAUCCCUGAAAAUAAACAGAAAACAGUGAGAACAUGAGACUCCAGAUAACAAA
Long non-coding RNA from Pan troglodytes (chimpanzee), 2435 nucleotides. RefSeq lists it as uncharacterized. The record is from RefSeq and is a predicted model, not a curated record. Lineage: Eukaryota; Metazoa; Chordata; Mammalia; Primates; Hominidae. The transcript has 4 exons.